RNAcentral lists this ribosomal RNA (428 nucleotides) under uncultured archaeon. Its description in RNAcentral is "bacterial SSU rRNA". It matches the Rfam family "Archaeal small subunit ribosomal RNA", at positions 474 to 903 of the family's 1478-position model. The record is from RNAcentral.
UACCAGCUCUCCGAGUUGUAGGGAUGAUUAUUGGGCUUAAAGCGUCCGUAGCUGGCUUAGCAAGUCUCCUGUUAAAUUCAGCGACCUAAUCGUUGAGCCGCGGGAGAUACUACUAGGCUAGGAGGCGGGAGAGGUCGACGGUACUUUCGGGGUAGUGGUGAAAUCCUAUAAUCCCGGGAGGACCACCAGUGGCGAAGGCUGUCGACUAGAACGCGCUCGACGGUGAGGGACGAAAGCUGGGGGAGCGAACCGGAUUAGAUACCCGGGUAGUCCCAGCUGUAAACUAUGCGGGCUAGGUGUUGGGGUGGCUACGGGCCACUUCAGUGCCGCAGGAAAGCCAUUAAGCCCGCCGCCUGGGGAGUACGGCCGCAAGGCUGAAACUUAAGGAAUUGGCGGGGGAGCACCACAAGGCGUGAAGCUUGCGGUUC